AAUGUUGAGUCCGUGGUACGUUCUUCAACGGACAGCGGCGUGCUUACCAAAUGACAACUGAUUUUGAGGUGCUUAUUGAAGAGUUUGAGAAACUUGAAUUAGAAAUUGCACCAACCGGAGAAGAUGAGGAUGAGUCUGGUGUGGAUUCAGAUUAAGCAUGGUGGCUGUUUGGUUUUUAUUUGUUUUAAAGUGAAUGUUUCGGUUUAAAGUGUGUUUAUUUUUGUUGUUUUGCUAGACAUUUUUAAUUAUCUUUAUUUUAUGUUUAAUUAAGUUGAAUUUGUAUUGGAUUUGGAUGUGAUAUACUCUUGUUAUUCUAGUUUAUUGAAGGUUUUAAACUUCAUUUUAUG
Molecule: non-coding RNA, 347 nt
Organism: Arachis ipaensis
Lineage: Eukaryota; Viridiplantae; Streptophyta; Magnoliopsida; Fabales; Fabaceae
Source: RefSeq, a predicted model, not a curated record